Long non-coding RNA from Macadamia integrifolia, 437 nucleotides. RefSeq lists it as uncharacterized. NCBI's taxonomy places the organism in Eukaryota, Viridiplantae, Streptophyta, Magnoliopsida, Proteales, Proteaceae. The transcript is spliced from 2 exons. The record is from RefSeq and is a predicted model, not a curated record.
UGAAGAUUAAGAAGAAGAAACAAAGAAGCAGGUUAAAAAGAGAGUUGUUUAGGAAGAGAUGGCCAAGUUCUUCACUCCCAAUUUUCUUAUCCUCUUCUUAGCUCUGCUUUUCAUCUCAGUACAGGUGAAGGUGAAUGCUCGUAUUUGUGACCAGGUUUUGGGCGAUUGUGACAGUACGUGUGCUGCGAGAUGUAAGGCAGCCCAUGGACCUAACGCCACGAUUCAAUGUUUGAGACCAUACAUCUGUGUAUGUGAGUUCCCUUGUCAAUCGUCUCUAGAAAAAAUGGCAUUCCUAACGCACAAGACUCCCACCACUGUAGGGUCUGGAGAGGAUCAUAAUAUACACAUCCUUACCCCCAAUUCACUAAGAGGCUGAACAUGCAUGUAAAUCCAAUAUUUGAAUAUGAUAUUAAUAAAGAGAUCUUUUUAUAGGCUCA